Molecule: microRNA, 22 nt
Filed under: Spodoptera frugiperda (fall armyworm)
Lineage: Eukaryota; Metazoa; Arthropoda; Insecta; Lepidoptera; Noctuidae
Description: sfr-miR-34-3p
Gene: sfr-miR-34-3p
Source: miRBase by way of RNAcentral
CAGCCAGUAACGACACUGCCUC